RNAcentral lists this ribosomal RNA (614 nucleotides) under uncultured bacterium. Its description in RNAcentral is "bacterial SSU rRNA". It matches the Rfam family "Bacterial small subunit ribosomal RNA", at positions 202 to 803 of the family's 1533-position model. The record is from RNAcentral.
GAAAGGCGCUUUCGGGUGUCGCUGAUGGAUGGACCCGCGGUGCAUUAGCUAGUUGGUGAGGUAACGGCUCACCAAGGCGACGAUGCAUAGCCGACCUGAGAGGGUGAUCGGCCACAUUGGGACUGAGACACGGCCCAAACUCCUACGGGAGGCAGCAGUAGGGAAUCUUCGGCAAUGGACGAAAGUCUGACCGAGCAACGCCGCGUGAGUGAAGAAGGUUUUCGGAUCGUAAAACUCUGUUGUUAGAGAAGAACAAGGAUGAGAGUAACUGUUCAUCCCUUGACGGUAUCUAACCAGAAAGCCACGGCUAACUACGUGCCAGCAGCCGCGGUAAUACGUAGGUGGCAAGCGUUGUCCGGACUUAUUGGGCGUAAAGCGAGCGCAGGCGGUUUCUUAAGUCUGAUGUGAAAGCCCCCGGCUCAACCGGGGAGGGUCAUUGGAAACUGGGAGACUUGAGUGCAGAAGAGGAGAGUGGAAUUCCAUGUGUAGCGGUGAAAUGCGUAGAUAUAUGGAGGAACACCAGUGGCGAAGGCGGCUCUCUGGUCUGUAACUGACGCUGAGGCUCGAAAGCGUGGGGAGCAAACAGGAUUAGAUACCCUGGUAGUCCACGCCGU